ACAGGGUAUUGUGGUGUACACCUGUAGUCCCAGAUACUUUGGAGGCUAAGGUGGUAGGAUCACUUGAACCCAGGAGUUUGAGAUUGGCCUGGGCAACAUAGCAAGUCCCUAUAUUUU
Molecule: small RNA, 117 nt
Filed under: Marmota monax (woodchuck)
Lineage: Eukaryota; Metazoa; Chordata; Mammalia; Rodentia; Sciuridae
Source: RNAcentral